AGAGUUUGAUCCUGGCUCAGGACGAACGCUGGCGGCGUGCCUAAUACAUGCAAGUCGAGCGAACUGAUAAGGAGCUUGCUCCUUUGACGUUAGCGGCGGACGGGUGAGUAACACGUGGGCAACCUACCUGUAAGACUGGGAUAACUUCGGGAAACCGGAGCUAAUACCGGAUGAAUCUUUUCUUCGCAUGAAGAAGAGAUAAAAGAUGGUUUCGGCUAUCACUUACAGAUGGGCCCGCGGCGCAUUAGCUAGUUGGUGAGGUAAGAGCUCACCAAGGCAACGAUGCGUAGCCGACCUGAGAGGGUGAUCGGCCACACUGGGACUGAGACACGGCCCAGACUCCUACGGGAGGCAGCAGUAGGGAAUCUUCCGCAAUGGACGAAAGUCUGACGGAGCAACGCCGCGUGAGCGAUGAAGGUCUUCGGAUCGUAAAGCUCUGUUAUUAGGGAAGAACAAGUAUCGGAGUAACUGCCGGUACCUUGACGGUACCUAACCAGAAAGCCACGGCUAACUACGUGCCAGCAGCCGCGGUAAUACGUAGGUGGCAAGCGUUGUCCGGAAUUAUUGGGCGUAAAGCGCGCGCAGGUGGUUCCUUAAGUCUGAUGUGAAAGCCCCCGGCUCAACCGGGGAGGGUCAUUGGAAACUGGGGAACUUGAGUGCAGAAGAGGAAAGUGGAAUUCCACGUGUAGCGGUGAAAUGCGUAGAGAUGUGGAGGAACACCAGUGGCGAAGGCGACUUUCUGGUCUGCAACUGACACUGAGGCGCGAAAGCGUGGGGAGCGAACAGGAUUAGAUACCCUGGUAGUCCACGCCGUAAACGAUGAGUGCUAAGUGUUAGGGGGUUUCCGCCCCUUAGUGCUGCAGCAAACGCAUUAAGCACUCCGCCUGGGGAGUACGGCCGCAAGGCUGAAACUCAAAGGAAUUGACGGGGGCCCGCACAAGCGGUGGA
Molecule: ribosomal RNA, 948 nt
Filed under: uncultured bacterium
Lineage: Bacteria
Description: bacterial SSU rRNA
Rfam family: Bacterial small subunit ribosomal RNA
Source: RNAcentral